Epinephelus fuscoguttatus (brown-marbled grouper) is the source of this 555-nucleotide long non-coding RNA. RefSeq lists it as uncharacterized. The transcript is spliced from 4 exons. The record is from RefSeq and is a predicted model, not a curated record. Lineage: Eukaryota; Metazoa; Chordata; Actinopteri; Perciformes; Serranidae.
ACAAGAGGCUCCCUGUCUGGGCUCUGAUUGGACAGCCGGAUGAAGUCUGGCCUCUGACUGGUCUUCACCUCAUCCUCCACCUGGACAGACACAAUCACACACCAUCAAGUCAACCAUCACUCUUCACCUCAGGACAUACUGAGGUGACCUGCAGACUGACGGUGCUCCCCAGCUCCUGAUUGGUCCUGUACAGCCCUGCCUCCACACCUGGGGCCCUCCUUCUCGGGCUACAAGGGGAGGUGUUAACAUCGAGGGAGUGUGUAUUCACCUGCGUGGGAUGGACAGAAGGGCAGUACGACUCCAGCAGUCUCAGGUCCAACAUGGACUUCACCAUCAGGACUCCGUCGCUACCCAUCCUCCUGGACCACUGACGACGUGGGAGUCGACCCCCUGAAGCCUCCUGAGGGUCACAAAGAAACACUGAGGCAUCCUGCUGUGACCAUAUAAGGACAACUACGCUCCUCCUCCUCCUCCUCAUCCUCUUCCUCCUCCUUGUCGCUGUCGGAAGACAUUGUGACGACACGAGGAGACAACACCUCCCUGCUGCAACACACA